CUACGUGCCAGCAGCCGCGGUAAUACGGAGGGUGCGAGCGUUAAUCGGAAUAACUGGGCGUAAAGGGCACGCAGGCGGCUAUUUAAGUGAGGUGUGAAAUCCCCGGGCUUAACCUGGGAAUUGCAUUUCAGACUGGGUAGCUAGAGUACUUUAGGGAGGGGUAGAAUUCCACGUGUAGCGGUGAAAUGCGUAGAGAUGUGGAGGAAUACCGAAGGCGAAGGCAGCCCCUUGGGAAUGUACUGACGCUCAUGUGCGAAAGCGUGGGGAGCAAACAGGAUUAGAUACCCUGGUAGUCCACGCUGUAAACGAUGUCGAUUUGGGGAUUGGGCUUUGAGCUUGGUGCCCGUAGCUAACGUGAUAAAUCGACCGCCUGGGGAGUACGGCCGCAAGGUUAAAACUCAAAUGAAUUGACGGGGGCCCGCACAAGCGGUGGAGCAUGUGGUUUAAUUCGAUGCAACGCGAAGAACCUUACCUACUCUUGACAUCCAGGAAUCUUGUAGAGAUACGAGAGUGCUUCGGGA
RNAcentral lists this ribosomal RNA (521 nucleotides) under uncultured bacterium. RNAcentral's name for it is "bacterial SSU rRNA". It matches the Rfam family "Bacterial small subunit ribosomal RNA", at positions 501 to 1023 of the family's 1533-position model. The record is from RNAcentral.